This 872-nucleotide ribosomal RNA is filed under the name marine metagenome. Its description in RNAcentral is "bacterial SSU rRNA". It matches the Rfam family "Bacterial small subunit ribosomal RNA", at positions 8 to 928 of the family's 1533-position model. The record is from RNAcentral.
AGAGUUUGAUCAUGGCUCAGAACGUACGCUGGCGGCACGCCUAACACAUGCAAGUCGAACGCAGUAGCAAUACUGAGUGGCAAACGGGUGAGUAUAAUGUGGGAAUCUGCCUUUUGGUUUGGAAUAACACGGGGAAACUUGUGCUAAUACCGGAUAAGCCCUUACGGGGAAAGUUUUAACGCCGAAAGAUGAGCCCGCACUUGAUUAGCUAGUUGGUAAGGUAAAAGCUUACCAAGGCAACGAUCAAUAGCUGUUCUUAGAGGAAGACCAGCCACAUUGGGACUGAGACACGGCCCAGACUCCUACGGGAGGCAGCAGUGGGGAAUCUUGCACAAUGGGGGAAACCCUGAUGCAGCGAUGCCGCGUGAGUGAAGAAGGCCCUUGGGUUGUAAAACUCUUUCGUCGGGGAAGAAAAUGACUGUACCCGAAUAAGAAGGUCCGGCUAACUUCGUGCCAGCAGCCGCGGUAAUACGAAGGGACCUAGCGUAGUUCGGAAUUACUGGGCUUAAAGAGCUCGUAGGUGGUUAAAAAAGUUGAUGGUGAAAUCCCAAGGCUCAACCUUGGAACUGCCAUCAAAACUUUUUAGCUAGAGUGUGAUAGAGGUAAGUGGAAUUUCUAGUGUAGAGGUGAAAUUCGUAGAUAUUAGAAAGAACACCAAAUGCGAAGGCAACUUACUGGGUCACUACUGACACUGAGGAGCGAAAGCAUGGGUAGCGAAGAGGAUUAGAUACCCUCGUAGUCCAUGCCGUAAACGAUGUGUGCUAGACGUUGGAAAUAUAUUUUUCAGUGUCGCAGCGAAAGCAUUAAGCACACCGCCUGGGGAGUACGACCGCAAGGUUAAAACUCAAAUGAAUUGACGGGGACCCGCACAA